RNAcentral lists this ribosomal RNA (407 nucleotides) under uncultured bacterium. RNAcentral describes it as "partial 16S ribosomal RNA". It matches the Rfam family "Bacterial small subunit ribosomal RNA", at positions 30 to 526 of the family's 1533-position model. The record is from RNAcentral.
AUUGAACGCUGGCGGCAGGCCUAACACAUGCAAGUCGAGCGGAGCGGCGGACGGGUGAGUAAUGCCUAGGAAUCUGCCUGGUAGUGGGGGAUAACGUCCGGAAACGGGCGCUAAUACCGCAUACUAUUAGAUGAGCCUAGGUCGGAUUAGCUAGUUGGUGGGGUAAAGGCCUACCAAGGCGCCGAUCCGUAACUGGUCUGAGAGGAUGAUCAGGCAAACUGGAACUGAGACCCGGCCCAGACUCCUCCGGGAGGCAGCAGUGGGGAAUAUUGGACAAUGGGCGAAAGCCUGACCCACCCAUGCCGCGUGUGGGAAGAAGGUCUUUGGAUGGUAAAGACCUUCAAGUUGGGAGGCGUUACCAACAGAAUAAGCACCGGCUAACUUCGUGCCAGCAGCCGCGGUAAUUC